GACAACUUGACACUUUCUUGUCAAACUGGGUGACUGGGAGGCAGUUUUAUGUUCAGCUGCAUUAGUGACUGAAAACUGUGAAGAUGCAGUUAUGCACAUUUCUUCUGCUGAGUUUGGCUUUUUGUCCAGCAUCAUCUAUGCCCCCACCAGAUACAUCUG
Molecule: long non-coding RNA, 159 nt
Organism: Carassius auratus (goldfish)
Lineage: Eukaryota; Metazoa; Chordata; Actinopteri; Cypriniformes; Cyprinidae
Exons: 3
Source: RefSeq, a predicted model, not a curated record